Molecule: ribosomal RNA, 279 nt
Filed under: uncultured bacterium
Lineage: Bacteria
Description: partial 16S ribosomal RNA
Rfam family: Bacterial small subunit ribosomal RNA
Source: RNAcentral
GGCCAGCAGCCGCGGUAAUACGAAGGGACCUAGCGUAGUUCGGAAUUACUGGGCUUAAAGAGCUCGUAGGUGGUUAAAAAAGUUGAUGGUGAAAUCCCAAGGCUCAACCUUGGAACUGCCAUCAAAACUUUUUAGCUAGAGUGUGAUAGAGGUAAGUGGAAUUUCUAGUGUAGAGGUGAAAUUCGUAGAUAUUAGAAAGAACACCAAAUGCGAAGGCAACUUACUGGGUCACUACUGACACUCAGAGACGAAAGCUAGGGGAGCAAACAGGAUUAGAUA